Molecule: ribosomal RNA, 395 nt
Filed under: Epinephelus chlorostigma (brownspotted grouper)
Lineage: Eukaryota; Metazoa; Chordata; Actinopteri; Perciformes; Serranidae
Description: partial 12S ribosomal RNA
Rfam family: Bacterial small subunit ribosomal RNA
Source: RNAcentral
ACCCUGGGAUUAGAUACCCCACUAUGCUUCGCCCUAAACAUUGAUAGCUUUAUACAACCCCUAUCCGCCUGGAAACUACGAGCAACAGCUUAAAACCCAAAGGACUUGGCGGUGCUUUAGACCCACCUAGAGGAGCCUGUUCUAUAACCGAUAACCCCCGUUUAACCUCACCUUUCCUUGUCAUUUCCGCCUAUAUACCGCCGUCGCCAGCUUACCCUGUGAAGGUCCCCUAGUAAGCACAAUUGGUACAACCCAAAACGUCAGGUCGAGGUGUAGCGUAUGGAGAGGGAAGAAAUGGGCUACAUUCCCUGUUACAGCGAAUCACGGAUAAUAUUACUGAAACGUGUAUCUAGAAGGAGGAUUUAGCAGUAAGCGGAAAGCAGAGCGUCCCGCUG